AGUGAACGCUGGCGGCAUGCCUAACACAUGCAAGUCGAACGGUAACAGGCCCGCAAGGGUGCUGACGAGUGGCGGACGGGUGAGGAAUACAUCGGAAUUUGCCCAGUCGUGGGGGAUAACGUAGGGAAACUUACGCUAAUACCGCAUACGACCGAGAGGUGAAAGCGGGGGAUCAGCAAUGACCUCGCGCGAGUGGAUGAGCCGAUGUCGGAUUAGCUAGUUGGCGGGGUAAAGGCCCACCAAGGCGACGAUCCGUAGCUGGUCUGAGAG
This 270-nucleotide ribosomal RNA is filed under the name uncultured bacterium. RNAcentral's name for it is "partial 16S ribosomal RNA". It matches the Rfam family "Bacterial small subunit ribosomal RNA", at positions 29 to 298 of the family's 1533-position model. The record is from RNAcentral.